UGUAAUAAUGUGCCCGCAGCGCGGGUAAUACGUGGGGGUGGGGGGUUAAUCGGAAUUACUGGGCUGAAAGCGUGCGCUGGCGGCUUUGCAAGACAGAGGUGAAAUCCCCGGGCUCAACCUGGGAACGGCCUUUGUGACUGCAAGGCUAGAGUACGGCAGAGGGGGAUGGAAUUCCGCGUGUAGCAGUGAAAUGCGUAGAUAUGCGGAGGAACACCAAUGGCGAAGGCAAUCCCCUGGGCCUGUACUGACGCUCAUGCACGAAAGCGUGGGGAGCAAACAGGAUUAGAUACCCUGGUAGUC
RNAcentral lists this ribosomal RNA (300 nucleotides) under uncultured Sulfophobococcus sp. RNAcentral describes it as "bacterial SSU rRNA". It matches the Rfam family "Bacterial small subunit ribosomal RNA", at positions 496 to 795 of the family's 1533-position model. Lineage: Archaea; Thermoproteati; Thermoproteota; Thermoprotei; Desulfurococcales; Desulfurococcaceae. The record is from RNAcentral.